UGUUAUGCUAAUCUUUCCUUCCUAACAUGUCACAUGUAUUAUCUUUAUUAAUUUUAAUUGUAUCUAAAGGAGUAAUUUAUUUGGAGGAAUUGGUUAAAAUGCCUCUUUUCGUAAAUGUCCAUUCUCUAUUUUUUUCUUUAAAGUUUACUUUACAAUCUGAGAUCUACCCAAAUCACUUUAUAAAAUGUUUUAGAUACCUAAUAUUACUGUAAAAUUAAGCUAAGUCAUGCUUACGAAAUGUUUCUUGUGCAUUUUGGCUUCAAAAGUGUGACGAUGAGUCUUGCAAAUACACGACACGCAGCCCCAACUUUCGUCUGCUCGGUGACCGUACGUGAACGGUGAACAGUUUGCCCAAACUAUCCUAACUGUACUGGAACCCUCUUAAGAAAGUACACUGAAGCAGACUUGUACAUGCAGCCACAUCUUAGAGACACAAUGCUCUCAAGAAAAGAAGAAUGUUGGUGUCAGAAUUCAAGUAGAAAAAGCAAUGACGAAGAUAAGACCUGCGGUUGAGUCAGCAGCAUCCAUGGCUCGAAGAGCUGCUGUGGAAAAGCACAUUUCCUGAGUUGCUUCUGGUACUUACGGGUUAACCAGUGAGUGAGAACUACCAAGCGGAGUCUCAAGGUUCAGCUCUUUGCUCAAAGCCCAAAGGUUCCAUUGCUCCUUGUCUGUGUUGCCGGUAGAACUGGUGGUAAUCGCAGAGAAUUUAGGCCUAAACCAUCCAUAAUUAACGGCUACAGUUGGCAAUUAUGCAGUCAUUGAGUUAAUCAAAUGAUGGCUUUUACAAAUUUUUAAUACAAAAAUUUGUAAAAAAUAAUCCUUUAAAAUCAAAUCUCCCUAAUUUUACUUAUAUACUUGCCAUACUAAGUUUGUUCUUCUGGCAGUAAACUGUGUUAUAAUCAUCUUUCUCCCUUAUAUGAUUCUAUACAUCUCUCUGCGUAUAAUUAUAUAUCUUCUCUAGUUAAUUAAUAUUGAAUGAUGAUUGCGUCUUCUAAGCUAGAGUGCUGUAUAUAAUUGUUGGCCAUGAGCUCAUGAUUCUCAUCAAAAAAUUCACAGUUCACUCGAUCUCUUUCUCUGACAUUUUUCAAAUA
Molecule: long non-coding RNA, 1091 nt
Organism: Camelina sativa (false flax)
Lineage: Eukaryota; Viridiplantae; Streptophyta; Magnoliopsida; Brassicales; Brassicaceae
Source: RefSeq, a predicted model, not a curated record